UUUGACAGCCAAUGCGAUUAGUUCAGAGCAAAUAUGUAUCGACAAAAAUAUAGCUGUAGAUACCUGUAAGCAACAAGGAGUCAACAUCAGCUGUCCCUCUGGCACUGUUAUAUAUCGACCAGAUAUAAAAGCAGCGAGUGAGCCCUGUAGAAACAAAAAUCCAUCUUAUAAAGAAAACACGGUAGACCUCCUAGUUGAUACUUCAGACUGUUACUGGAAGCAACGUUGUAAGAUAAGAUUCCCAACAACGCCACUAUUAAAAUAUUUUGUCGAGGUGGAAUCUCUUUACAUCCACAAUUGGCAGUGUGUCAAUAUGACAAGUAAGUAAAAGCCAUGUAUAUUUGUUCCGGACCAUAUGAGUAUUUGGACCAUACGCGUAUGGUCAUGACCAUAUGGGUAUAUACUCGUAUGGUCCGACCAUACGCGUAUGGUCGGG
Molecule: long non-coding RNA, 436 nt
Filed under: Mytilus galloprovincialis (Mediterranean mussel)
Lineage: Eukaryota; Metazoa; Mollusca; Bivalvia; Mytilida; Mytilidae
Source: RNAcentral